CCCAGACAGCCAGGAUGUUGGCUUAGAAGCAGCCAUCAUUUAAAGAAAGCGUAAUAGCUCACUGGUCGAGUCGGCCUGCGCGGAAGAUGUAACGGGGCUAAACCAUGCACCGAAGCUGCGGCAGCGACGCUGAUGCGUUGUUGGGUAGGGGAGCGUUCUGUAAGCCUGCGAAGGUGACCUGUGAGGGUUGCUGGAGGUAUCAGAAGUGCGAAUGCUGACAUAAGUAACGAUAAAGCGGGUGAAAAGCCCGCUCGCCGGAAGACCAAGGGUUCCUGUCCAACGUUAAUCGGGGCAGGGUGAGUCGACCCCUAAGGCGAGGCCGAAAGGCGUAGUCGAUGGGAAACGGGUUAAUAUUCCCGUACUUGGUGUUACUGCGAAGGGGGGACGGAGAAGGCUAUGUUGGCCGGGCGACGGUUGUCCCGGUUUAAGCGUGUAGGUGUGUGUUCCAGGUAAAUCCGGUUCACUUUAACACUGAGGCGUGAUGACGAGGCACUACGGUGCUGAAGCAACAAAUGCCCUGCUUCCAGGAAAAGCCUCUAAGCAUCAGGUAACACGAAAUCGUACCCCAAACCGACACAGGUGGUCAGGUAGAGAAUACCAAGGCGCUUGAGAGAACUCGGGUGAAGGAACUAGGCAAAAUGGUGCCGUAACUUCGGGAGAAGGCACGCUGACACGUAGGUGA
Molecule: ribosomal RNA, 682 nt
Filed under: Salmonella enterica subsp. enterica serovar 4,[5],12:i:-
Lineage: Bacteria; Pseudomonadati; Pseudomonadota; Gammaproteobacteria; Enterobacterales; Enterobacteriaceae
Description: bacterial LSU rRNA
Rfam family: Bacterial large subunit ribosomal RNA
Source: RNAcentral